This 400-nucleotide ribosomal RNA is filed under the name uncultured bacterium. RNAcentral's name for it is "bacterial SSU rRNA". It matches the Rfam family "Bacterial small subunit ribosomal RNA", at positions 30 to 432 of the family's 1533-position model. The record is from RNAcentral.
AUUGAACGCUGGCGGAAUGCUUUACACAUGCAAGUCGAACGGCAGCACGGGGCAACCUGGUGGCGAGUGGCGAACGGGUGAGUAAUACAUCGGAACGUGCCCAAUCGUGGGGGGAUAACGUAGCGAAAGUUACGCUAAUACCGCAUACGAUCUACGGAUGAAAGCGGGGGAUCGCAAGACCUCGCGCGAGUGGAGCGGCCGAUGUCAGAUUAGGUAGUUGGUGGGGUAAAGGCUCACCAAGCCAACGAUCUGUAGCUGGUCUGAGAGGACGACCAGCCACACUGGAACUGAGACACGGUCCAGACUCCUACGGGAGGCAGCAGUGGGGAAUUUUGGACAAUGGGCGCAAGCCUGAUCCAGCCAUUCCGCGUGCAGGAUGAAGGCCUCGGUUGUAACGUAG